GCCUGCUUAGAUAUAUGAAAAACAUCUAAUAUUAGAUAUAUGAAAAACAUCGGUUCGAUAUAGAGACUGGUCC
RNAcentral lists this transfer RNA (73 nucleotides) under Echinocodon lobophyllus. RNAcentral's name for it is "tRNA-Thr". The record is from RNAcentral. Lineage: Eukaryota; Viridiplantae; Streptophyta; Magnoliopsida; Asterales; Campanulaceae.